UUUUCAUCAGACAAUCUGUGUGAGCACUGCAAAGUACGCUUCUUUAAGGUAAGGAGGUGAUCCAACCGCAGGUUCCCCUACGGUUACCUUGUUACGACUUCACCCCAGUCAUGAAUCACAAAGUGGUAAGCGCCCUCCCGAAGGUUAAGCUACCUACUUCUUUUGCAACCCACUCCCAUGGUGUGACGGGCGGUGUGUACAAGGCCCGGGAACGUAUUCACCGUGGCAUUCUGAUCCACGAUUACUAGCGAUUCCGACUUCAUGGAGUCGAGUUGCAGACUCCAAUCCGGACUACGACGCACUUUAUGAGGUCCGCUUGCUCUCGCGAGGUCGCUUCUCUUUGUAUGCGCCAUUGUAGCACGUGUGUAGCCCUGGUCGUAAGGGCCAUGAUGACUUGACGUCAUCCCCACCUUCCUCCAGUUUAUCACUGGCAGUCUCCUUUGAGUUCCCGGCCGGACCGCUGGCAACAAAGGAUAAGGGUUGCGCUCGUUGCGGGACUUAACCCAACAUUUCACAACACGAGCUGACGACAGCCAUGCAGCACCUGUCUCACGGUUCCCGAAGGCACAUUCUCAUCUCUGAAAACUUCCGUGGAUGUCAAGACCAGGUAAGGUUCUUCGCGUUGCAUCGAAUUAAACCACAUGCUCCACCGCUUGUGCGGGCCCCCGUCAAUUCAUUUGAGUUUUAACCUUGCGGCCGUACUCCCCAGGCGGUCUACUUAACGCGUUAGCUCCGGAAGCCACGCCUCAAGGGCACAACCUCCAAGUAGACAUCGUUUACGGCGUGGACUACCAGGGUAUCUAAUCCUGUUUGCUCCCCACGCUUUCGCACCUGAGCGUCAGUCUUUGUCCAGGGGGCCGCCUUCGCCACCGGUAUUCCUCCAGAUCUCUACGCAUUUCACCGCUACACCUGGAAUUCUACCCCCCUCUACAAGACUCAAGCCUGCCAGUUUCGAAUGCAGUUCCCAGGUUGAGCCCGGGGAUUUCACAUCCGACUUGACAGACCGCCUGCGUGCGCUUUACGCCCAGUAAUUCCGAUUAACGCUUGCACCCUCCGUAUUACCGCGGCUGCUGGCACGGAGUUAGCCGGUGCUUCUUCUGCGGGUAACGUCAAUUGCUGCGGUUAUUAACCACAACACCUUCCUCCCCGCUGAAAGUACUUUACAACCCGAAGGCCUUCUUCAUACACGCGGCAUGGCUGCAUCAGGCUUGCGCCCAUUGUGCAAUAUUCCCCACUGCUGCCUCCCGUAGGAGUCUGGACCGUGUCUCAGUUCCAGUGUGGCUGGUCAUCCUCUCAGACCAGCUAGGGAUCGUCGCCNNNNNNNNNNNNNNNNNNNNCACAUCUGAUGGCAAGAGGCCCGAAGGUCCCCCUCUUUGGUCUUGCGACGUUAUGCGGUAUUAGCCACCGUUUCCAGUAGUUAUCCCCCUCCAUCAGGCAGUUUCCCAGACAUUACUCACCCGUCCGCCACUCGUCAGCAAAGCAGCAAGCUGCUUCCUGUUACCGUUCGACUUGCAUGUGUUAGGCCUGCCGCCAGCGUUCAAUCUGAGCCAUGAUCAAACUCUUCAAUUUAAAAGUUUGAUGCUCAAUGAAUUAAACUUCGUAAUGAAUUACGUGUUCACUCUUGAGACUUGGUAUUCAUUUUUCGU
Molecule: ribosomal RNA, 1646 nt
Filed under: Salmonella enterica subsp. enterica serovar Paratyphi A
Lineage: Bacteria; Pseudomonadati; Pseudomonadota; Gammaproteobacteria; Enterobacterales; Enterobacteriaceae
Description: 16S ribosomal RNA
Source: RNAcentral